This 75-nucleotide transfer RNA is filed under the name Acidisoma sibiricum. RNAcentral's name for it is "tRNA-Thr". It matches the Rfam family "tRNA". From Rfam's summary of the family: Transfer RNA (tRNA) molecules are approximately 80 nucleotides in length. Their secondary structure includes four short double-helical elements and three loops (D, anti-codon, and T loops). The record is from RNAcentral. Lineage: Bacteria; Pseudomonadati; Pseudomonadota; Alphaproteobacteria; Acetobacterales; Acidocellaceae. RNAcentral also lists the same sequence under 4 other names.
GCCGGCAUAGCUCAGGGGUAGAGCAACUGAUUCGUAAUCAGUAGGUCGUAGGUUCAAUUCCCACUGCCGGCACCA